AUACGGAAGGUCCGGGCGUUAUCCGGAUUUAUUGGGUUUAAAGGGAGCGCAGGCGGAGAUGCAAGCGUGACGUCAAAUUUCGGGGCUCAACCCCGUCUCGCGUCGCGAACUGCGUCCCUUGGUUGCGGGAAGGGGAGGCGGAACUCGUGGUGUAGCGGUGAAAUGCAUAGAUAUCACGAAGAACUCCGAUCGCGAAGGCAGCCUUCCGGCCCGUCAACGACGAUCAUGCUCGAAGGUGCGGGUAUCAAACAGGAUUAGAUACCCUGGUAGUCCGCACAGUAAACGAUGGACACCCGCGGUUUGGCCUGUAUGGCUGAGCCGCCAAGCGAAAGCGUUAGGUGUCCCACCUGGGGAGUACGCCGGCAACGGUGAAACUCAAAUGAAUUGACGGGG
This 393-nucleotide ribosomal RNA is filed under the name uncultured bacterium. Its description in RNAcentral is "partial 16S ribosomal RNA". It matches the Rfam family "Bacterial small subunit ribosomal RNA", at positions 523 to 918 of the family's 1533-position model. The record is from RNAcentral.